GCCCUGUGAGUUACGACUUUAACGGCCGCGGUACUCUGACCGUGCAAAGGUAGCAUAAUCCCAUGCUUUUUAAUUGAAGGCUAGUAUGAAUGGACCAACGAGCGAUUUAUUGUCUCACUUUUAAACUUAUAAAUUAUUAUUUAUGUGAAGAAACAUAAAUUUCACUAAAAGACAAGAAGACCCUGUGGAGUUUUAUUAUACGAAAUAACCGUCUGACUAUUGAAAAUAAGUUAACCAGUUUUUUUAUAAUUUGAUUGGGGCAAUCGAUGGCUAAACCUACCGCCACCCAAGAAAAAGAUUCAACAUCUAUAAUUCCACCCUUAAGAAAGAAGAGUAAAUAAUUCUACUACCCCAGGGAUAACAGACCAAUCCUCUUAAAGAGCCCGAAUCGUAAAGGGGGAGUGGCACCUCGAUGUUGGCUUAGGGAAGCUUUUAAAUGCAGCAGUUUAAUAAGCUGGUUUGUUCAACCAUUAAACCCCU
RNAcentral lists this ribosomal RNA (480 nucleotides) under Oxydromus obscurus. Its description in RNAcentral is "partial 16S ribosomal RNA". It matches the Rfam family "Bacterial large subunit ribosomal RNA", at positions 1861 to 2597 of the family's 2925-position model. Lineage: Eukaryota; Metazoa; Annelida; Polychaeta; Phyllodocida; Hesionidae. The record is from RNAcentral.